Long non-coding RNA from Dendroctonus ponderosae (mountain pine beetle), 528 nucleotides. RefSeq lists it as uncharacterized. The transcript has 2 exons. The record is from RefSeq and is a predicted model, not a curated record. Lineage: Eukaryota; Metazoa; Arthropoda; Insecta; Coleoptera; Curculionidae.
UGAUGGCAGAUGAGUGAUGAAUCUCAAGUUGUUUUUCUCGACCAAACUGCGUACGGAAGGCAAUGUUGGCAUUUUUCCACCUGCAUAAACCUAACAUCAAAUCAGAUUCGACCUGUGGAUGGAGUUUGGAGCAGUCACAGGAUCACCUCUUAUGUGUCGUAGAGUGUCCAAGCUGAUAAGAUCGAAAAUCACACCCUACACUGCCAUGAAUGUGGUAACAAGUUUCCCGUACAGAUCAUUGCCAGUCCCAUUAGGCACAAACAAUAAAUUUGUAUGAAUUCGUAAGUAAAUAAAAAUAAAUAUUUUCUUAACAUUAUAGGCAAUAUAAGUUCAAUGUGUAUCACUAAAAGUGUUCCGCCACUGCGACAGACACAAAUAAACCCACAUUAGUUUGUAAUGGGAGGGCUAAGAAGUCAAAUAUGGACUACAUAAUAUUGAUAAGUGGGAAAAGGACAGAAUUCGGGACGUAAGUCGUUUAUCAUAGCCGUAUAUUCAGAGACCGUGCAUAAUAAACACAUUUUAUCUAUA